GGGUUGUGAGGUUAAGCGACUAAGCGUACACGGUGGAUGCCCUGGCAGUCAGAGGCGAUGAAGGACGUGCUAAUCUGCGAAAAGCGUCGGUAAGGUGAUAUGAACCGUUAUAACCGGCGAUGUCCGAAUGGGGAAACCCAGUGCAAUUCGUUGCACUAUCGUUAACUGAAUACAUAGGUUAACGAGGCGAACCGGGGGAACUGAAACAUCUAAGUACCCCGAGGAAAAGAAAUCAACCGAGAUUCCCCCAGUAGCGGCGAGCGAACGGGGAGCAGCCCAGAGUCUGAAUCAGCUUGUGUGUUAGUGGAACGGUCUGGAAAGUCCGACGGUACAGGGUGAUAGUCCCGUACACCAAAAUGCACAGGCUGUGAACUCGAAGAGUAGGGCGGGACACGUGGUAUCCUGUCUGAAUAUGGGGGGACCAUCCUCCAAGGCUAAAUACUCCUGACUGACCGAUAGUGAACCAGUACCGUGAGGGAAAGGCGAAAAGAACCCCGGCGAGGGGAGUGAAAAAGAACCUGAAACCGUGUACGUACAAGCAGUGGGAGCACCUUCGGGUGUGACUGCGUACCUUUUGUAUAAUGGGUCAGCGACUUAUAUUCUGUAGCAAGGUUAACCGUAUAGGGGAGCCGCAGGGAAACCGAGUCUUAACUGGGCGUUAAGUUGCAGGGUAUAGACCCGAAACCCGGUGAUCUAGCCAUGGGCAGGUUGAAGGUUGGGUAACACUAACUGGAGGACCGAACCGACUAAUGUUGAAAAAUUAGCGGAUGACUUGUGGCUGGGGGUGAAAGGCCAAUCAAACCGGGAGAUAGCUGGUUCUCCCCGAAAGCUAUUUAGGUAGCGCCUCGUGAAUUCAUCUUCGGGGGUAGAGCACUGUUUCGGCUAGGGGGUCAUCCCGACUUACCAACCCGAUGCAAACUACGAAUACCGAAGAAUGUUAUCACGGGAGACACACGGCGGGUGCUAACGUCCGUCGUGAAGAGGGAAACAACCCAGACCGCCAGCUAAGGUCCCAAAGUCAUGGUUAAGUGGGAAACGAUGUGGGAAGGCACAGACAGCCAGGAUGUUGGCUUAGAAGCAGCCAUCAUUUAAAGAAAGCGUAAUAGCUCACUGGUCGAGUCGGCCUGCGCGGAAGAUGUAACGGGGCUAAACCAUGCACCGAAGCUGCGGCAGCGACACUAUGUGUUGUUGGGUAGGGGAGCGUUCUGUAAGCCUGCGAAGGUGUGCUGUGAGGCAUGCUGGAGGUAUCAGAAGUGCGAAUGCUGACAUAAGUAACGAUAAAGCGGGUGAAAAGCCCGCUCGCCGGAAGACCAAGGGUUCCUGUCCAACGUUAAUCGGGGCAGGGUGAGUCGACCCCUAAGGCGAGGCCGAAAGGCGUAGUCGAUGGGAAACAGGUUAAUAUUCCUGUACUUGGUGUUACUGCGAAGGGGGGACGGAGAAGGCUAUGUUAGCCGGGCGACGGUUGUCCCGGUUUAAGCAUGUAGGCUGAUUGUCCAGGCAAAUCCGGAUAAUCAAGGCUGAGGUGUGAUGACGAGGCACUACGGUGCUGAAGUAACAAAUGCCCUGCUUCCAGGAAAAGCCUCUAAGCAUCAGGUAACAUCAAAUCGUACCCCAAACCGACACAGGUGGUCAGGUAGAGAAUACCAAGGCGCUUGAGAGAACUCGGGUGAAGGAACUAGGCAAAAUGGUGCCGUAACUUCGGGAGAAGGCACGCUGGUGUGUAGGUGAAGUCCCUGCGGAUGGAGCUGAGACCAGUCGAAGAUACCAGCUGGCUGCAACUGUUUAUUAAAAACACAGCACUGUGCAAACACGAAAGUGGACGUAUACGGUGUGACGCCUGCCCGGUGCCGGAAGGUUAAUUGAUGGGGUUAUCCGUAAGGAGAAGCUCUUGAACGAAGCCCCGGUAAACGGCGGCCGUAACUAUAACGGUCCUAAGGUAGCGAAAUUCCUUGUCGGGUAAGUUCCGACCUGCACGAAUGGCGUAAUGAUGGCCAGGCUGUCUCCACCCGAGACUCAGUGAAAUUGAACUCGCUGUGAAGAUGCAGUGUACCCGCGGCAAGACGGAAAGACCCCGUGAACCUUUACUAUAGCUUGACACUGAACAUUGAGCCUUGAUGUGUAGGAUAGGUGGGAGGCUUUGAAGCGUGGACGCCAGUCUGCGUGGAGCCAACCUUGAAAUACCACCCUUUAAUGUUUGAUGUUCUAACGUUGGCCCCUGACCGGGGUUGCGGACAGUGUCUGGUGGGUAGUUUGACUGGGGCGGUCUCCUCCCAAAGCGUAACGGAGGAGCACGAAGGUUAGCUAAUCCUGGUCGGACAUCAGGAGGUUAGUGCAAUGGCAUAAGCUAGCUUGACUGCGAGCGUGACGGCGCGAGCAGGUGCGAAAGCAGGUCAUAGUGAUCCGGUGGUUCUGAAUGGAAGGGCCAUCGCUCAACGGAUAAAAGGUACUCCGGGGAUAACAGGCUGAUACCGCCCAAGAGUUCAUAUCGACGGCGGUGUUUGGCACCUCGAUGUCGGCUCAUCACAUCCUGGGGCUGAAGUAGGUCCCAAGGGUAUGGCUGUUCGCCAUUUAAAGUGGUACGCGAGCUGGGUUUAGAACGUCGUGAGACAGUUCGGUCCCUAUCUGCCGUGGGCGCUGGAGAAUUGAGGGGGGCUGCUCCUAGUACGAGAGGACCGGAGUGGACGCAUCACUGGUGUUCGGGUUGUCAUGCCAAUGGCACUGCCCGGUAGCUAAAUGCGGAAGAGAUAAGUGCUGAAAGCAUCUAAGCACGAAACUUGCCCCGAGAUGAGUUCUCCCUGAGACUUUAAGUCUCCUGAAGGAACGUUAAAGACGAUGACGUUGAUAGGCCGGGUGUGUAAGCGCAGCGAUGCGUUGAGCUAACCGGUACUAAUGAACCGUGAGGCUUAACCUUACAACGCCGAAG
RNAcentral lists this ribosomal RNA (2923 nucleotides) under Klebsiella pneumoniae. Its description in RNAcentral is "bacterial LSU rRNA". It matches the Rfam family "Bacterial large subunit ribosomal RNA". Lineage: Bacteria; Pseudomonadati; Pseudomonadota; Gammaproteobacteria; Enterobacterales; Enterobacteriaceae. The record is from RNAcentral.